AAAACAUCUUUUCUUGUUAUUUAUUUGAGAUUUAACCUGCCCAAUGAAUUUUUAAUGGCCGCAGUAUUUUGACUGUGCAAAGGUAGCAUAAUCAUUAGUCUAUUAAUUGUGGACUUGUAUGAAUGGUUGGACGAAAUAUUUACUGUCUCAUAUUUAAUUUUAGAAUUUAAAUUUUGAGUUAAAAUGCUUAAAUUUUAUUAUAGGACGAGAAGACCCUAUAGAUCUUUAUUUUAAUAUUUAUUUAUUUUAUUUUGUUUUUUUAUAUAUAAUAUUUAUUAUUGUUUUGUUGGGGUGACAUAAAGAUAUAAUUAACUCUUUAUUUUAUUAUUCAAAAAUUUUUGUUUAUUUGACCUUUUAUUAAUGUUAUAAGAUAUAGAUACCUUAGGGAUAACAGCGUAAUUUUUUUUGAGAGUUCAUAUCGACAAUUAAGAUUGCGACCUCGAUGUUGGAUUAAGAAUUAUUUUAGGUGUAGGUGCUUAAAUUAUUAAGUCUGUUCGACUUUUAAAUUCUUACA
RNAcentral lists this ribosomal RNA (514 nucleotides) under Trachythorax maculicollis. RNAcentral describes it as "partial 16S ribosomal RNA". It matches the Rfam family "Bacterial large subunit ribosomal RNA", at positions 1810 to 2600 of the family's 2925-position model. The record is from RNAcentral. Lineage: Eukaryota; Metazoa; Arthropoda; Insecta; Phasmatodea; Lonchodidae.